AUGACCGACGCCAAGGUGCCGGACGCGCAGUUCGGUAUGGAAAAAGGCGUGACGGCGCUGGCCGCGGGGCUGGCGGGCGGCAACAUGAUCUAUGAGAGCGCGG
The sequence is a regulatory RNA element, 103 nucleotides long. It matches the Rfam family "Pyrrolysine insertion sequence mttB". The record is from Rfam.